GUCCACCCUCGCUCCCUCACCCUCUUAUUUAUCUCUCUUAAUAUUCAUCAUCUGCAUGCCUAACCUCUUCAGCUCUCCAAACACUCUUGAAAAUGGCUUCUUUCUCCACCACUCUUUUUUCUCCUCUCACCUCUUCACCUUUCCUUCACUCUCUCUUCUUUUCAUCUACCUUUCAACGCCCACCAAAAAUGCUGUACGACCUCAUUUCUUCACCAAUUUCUUGAACCCUUCACAACCACCAUCACAGCGUCGUGUUCCUUCUCAAGAAAGACUCUUGGAAUUCUUUUUGGUGCUCAGUAUUUUGUUUAACUGCGUAAACUGAGAUGCCCAUUUUGUUUUUCUGAUGAUUCUGUUUGUUGAUUCGGUCAAAGCCAUAUCUUGGUGCUGCUUGGUGCACUCCAACUUGGAUAUCAGUUUUCCUGACUUGGUUACUAAUCUGCUUUCAGAUCUUCAAAGCUUAGAUUGCGCUCUUUUCUGGUCAGUUUUAUCCAGCACCUACUUAUUUGGUAGAGUUAUUUGAGUUUGAGCUCAAACUACAGUGUGGGUUCUAGGGUUUUUCAUUUUUCAUAACUGCUAGCCAAUCUCUGUUUUGAUUAGACUUUUAACUCUUUAGACCCUUUUGAGUUAUUGCUAGGGAAGUGAUUUUGAAGACAACCCAGUUAGUUGAUCGGCUUCGACAAUCUGUCUCACUUGUUAGUCAUAUGGAGUAUUUCUUGAUACCUGGUUAGGGUUUCUAGUUUGUCGUUUAAGCUAGACUAUUAUAGUGGCAUCCGAUCAAAUUUGUGACCAUCCACUUUUUGUUGUUUUAGCUGUUUCGCUUUUUGGCGGACAAUUCAUGGGUGUGCUAGGGUUAACCGCUUUAGGACAAUAAUUUAUUGCAAAAUUGUAGCUUAGUUUGAAAAUUGCGCAAUUGUAACUGUUUAGGCAUCCAUUGAGUGGGGUUUUAACCUCUUACCAUUACCAUUGGGCAUCUUUGGUUAUGUAAUUAGGAUUACCAGUGGGUUUCUGGUGUUCUAUAAGCUCCUUUGUGGUCCUUUCUGUCAAGAUGACUGGAAGCAGUCACUGUUUCGUCGAAUGGAAAGAGCAUUUUGUUUCGCAGGAGCGGGGGAACCGUGUGGUUCACUAUUUCCUGAAGGACUCUGCUGGGGAAUCUAUUCUUGCUGUUGUGGGCACUGAGAGGAGUGUUAGGCACAUGUUCUAUGUUGUUGCUGAGGAGUUUAUGCAGACUUAUGGUGCAGAAAAUUCUAUUCAUGCUGGUUUCAAAUGGAGGUCAAGGAGGGAGGUUGUGGAUUGGCUUACGUCUAUGUUAUCAAAGCAGCAUCUACAGAGUGAUCGGUCCAAAUCACCAAAACAUGAUUUAGUGCAAACUCUAGAAUCUCCUCAAUAUCCUGUGAAUGCAUUUGGUGCUCAACAGACACAGGGCCGGCUUUCUAGGAACUUGAAUGGACAUAAUUCAGAUAUUGUGUGGUCAGGCGAUGCAUGGACAUGUGGAAAACAGCUCAAACACUACCCCGCUUUCUGUAGAAAUGGGAUUAGAAUAGCGAUCCAGUCCUUUGUUUUUGUCAUGGCAAAAGGUAAGAAUCAUUACCUUGCUUAUUUGGAAGAUAUGUAUGAAGACAAGAGGGGACAAAAGAAAGUCAAAGUGAGGUGGUUUCAUCAUAACCAGGAAGUCAAGGGUGUAGUUCCUCUAAGAAAUGCUCAUCCAAAAGAAGUUUUUAUUACACCUUAUUCGCAGGUCAUUAGUGCAGAAUGUGUUGAUGGCCCUGCUACAGUAUUAACUCGUGAGCAUUAUGAGGAAUACUUGGCUGCUUUUCCUAAUGCUUUAUCAGCUAGAAUACAUUUGUGCUUUAGGCAGUUCAGAAGCAAUAAAGUAAAGCCCUUUGAUUUGAGUAGAUUGCGUGGGUACUUUGAUCAACAAAUUAUCUCUUGUCUGAAUUCCAAACCAUUUCCUGGGCCUGACUCUAUAGGCUUAGGCUAUGGCCUAACGGGUGAACAAGAUGAAGAAUUGAGUCCAGAUGAGAAUGUGAAGUUGGGAGCCAAGAGGACCAGAAGUGGUAGAGGGAGUGAAACAUUUGCGACAGAUCAUUCAGGAGUUGGAAUUUCUGGAAGCCAGAUGAUGACUUCUGAGCCUUCGUAUUUCAACUUAAGAUAUGGUAUGUCAGGCAAGAGAUUGCCUCCCCUCAAGCAUGCUGAGUCUCAGCAUCAAUACAGCCCACUAUUUAAGGUUGAUGAAAAGGUUGAACUGUUGUGCCAAGAUAGUGGUAUUCGAGGCUGCUGGUUUAGGUGUACUGUCUUGCAGGUCUCCCGAAAACAGAUAAAAGUUCAGUAUGAUGAUCUGCGAGAUGAAGAUGAGUAUGGCAAUCUUGAGGAAUGGAUCCCGGCUUUCAAAUUGGCUGUGCUUGAUAAACUUGGUAUGAGGUGCUCAGGCCGUCCAACAAUUCGACCAGCUCCUCCUCUAAAUGAACAAGCAGAUCUAGCUUUUGAGGUUGGCUCUGCCGUUGAUGCAUGGUGGAGUGAUGGAUGGUGGGAAGGGGUUGUAACUGGAAUCAGCAGUAGCAAUGAUGAUAUUCUGCAAGUUUACUUUCCUGGUGAGAGUUUCUUCUUGAGCAUACACAAAAAGAAUCUAAGGACUUCCAGAGAUUGGGUGGAUAAUCAAUGGAUUGAUAUUCAGGCAAAACCUGAUAUACUUUCGGCAAUAUCAGUAACAAUUAGCCCAGAUGCCAAAAUGUCCACGUCUUCAACAAUUACCAAGGACAUGAAGCCCAGUGGUUUUGAUUUUUCCUAUACUGAAGUUCAUACUAGUGCUGAGCUUAAUAACAUUGAAGACAAAAAGUCAGACAUAGCUACAUUGGUCAGUACUGGCAGCAUCCUGGAGGAUAUGGACUGUGAUGAUGAUAGGAAGCCUCCAUCAUCUGAUGACAAAGCUGAUGAGGAUGGUGGUAAUGACAUUAAUGUUAGUUAUGAUGAAGUAGAUGGAGUACAAGGCAAUGAUGAAGAUGAGGUUGAUGGUGAUGUUAAAGAUAGUGAUGAAAAAAUAGAUAUAGGGGUGUUUGAGUCAUCUGAGAAGAAUUGUAAGGCUGUGGAAUUCAUGGAAGUGACGGCAUAAGAUGCUUGUAGCCGGCUUGUAUUGCAUUAUAUCAUGAUUGCCAUGGUCCUACUAAUAUUUGUAGGUUUCGGUUGGUGCUCGAGAUGGCUUUGUAAAUAUUAACAUGACAAUUGACGAUCUCCAUCAGUUUGUCGAUCAUAAUCAUAGAUGUACAGGAAUCAUAUUAGAUUUUUAAGGUUCUGUUGUAACUGGUUUUAUGAGAGUUGGGAUUGGCAUUUGAAUUCCUUUGGUUAGAAGCCUAAUUGAGUCAGAUUUCCCAAAGUGGUCCCUCACUUAAUGUGCUUCUUGCUUGUAAUUUGUACCAUGAUAAUAUUAAAAUUACUUAUAUAAUCUGUACUCUGAAUUGCUUGUCCCCAACAGUUAUUCAGUGGUUUGAAUGCUAGGGCUGGGCUUCAAAUUUGUUAUUCUUAACAUUUUAAAUAGAAAUGAUUUUGCAUUCUGC
RNAcentral lists this unclassified non-coding RNA (3548 nucleotides) under Hevea brasiliensis (rubber tree). Lineage: Eukaryota; Viridiplantae; Streptophyta; Magnoliopsida; Malpighiales; Euphorbiaceae. The record is from RNAcentral.